This 1269-nucleotide long non-coding RNA is filed under the name Medicago truncatula (barrel medic). Its description in RNAcentral is "lncRNA gene8478". The record is from RNAcentral. Lineage: Eukaryota; Viridiplantae; Streptophyta; Magnoliopsida; Fabales; Fabaceae.
CAAAACUAAUCCAAACUGCAUCUUAAUCUCUAGCAAAAGUCUAAAAUGCUGACUUUCAAUCCUGCAGCAUUAACAGGAAAAUCCAGGAAGAAGACCUUCAAUCUAAAUUGCUACAUUGAGUGUAAUAAAGUUUACAUAAAUGGGAGGCUCUCAUUUCAUUAUUAAUGACUGCAAAUUUUAAUACAUUUAAGACACCAGAGAGCCAACCCACACACAACACUGCUUCUGAAGCCAACCAACCUCCCAAUGUCCAUUUCACAAUAACGUUGAAUAUAACAGAUCUAUAACGAUUCUGACCUUUCUCUGAACACUGUCGUGUCGUGGUGAGAGCUUUAUAGUAUCAGAAGCAGCACAAAAACCCGCACAAAAGCUUAUCCUGCCAUAACUGCUAGUUAAGCACUUGACUACUUGGUGGAGCCACUCCAAUCCUCAACUGCUUGCAACCCUUGAUUCAGUUUUUAUUCCGAUUGCAGUUUUGAAACCAAUGUGAUUUAACUUCUUCGUAUGAGGAUGUCAUACUUUUCCUUGUAUGUGAAGAUGAAAGAGAAACUAAUCCACACAAAUCAGUUGUACAAAGGAAACUACACACAGUAGUUCACUUCAUCCCCCUCCAAACUAUCUAUACACCAAUGAUGAUACUCAUUUACAGCUCAUUAACACAGAGUUUAUAACAUGCAUGAGAAGGCGGAUUGUGCUAGCUUCUGAAGGGGAAUUAGAUGGUAAACUACGAUGAUGGCUUAGUGUUCGGUACACUUGAUCCAAUAUUGGCCGCACAUGCGCUGCAAUCCUAGUAUCUUCUGGGUUUAUAGCAGCAGCCACAUCUGUCAUCCAUUGCAAUUUUCUCGGUGUAUCUGUAUUGAUGUCACAGGAUAAUUGUUGUAGAAGAGAUAAAAGUACUCCCUGGCUUAAUGGCAGUGGCACCAUUGUCAGGAUACUGCUUAAAUCAACCUGUUCAUGAAGAGGUUUGAAAUUCAAUGUUAGCUAUAUUGACUUUGUAUUGACAUAAUCUUGCAAACCACAAAAUAUAUGCAUUAACCACCAAUUAUAUGGAGAUCAAUUUGAUCAUCCGUGAUUGGAGUGGAUUUAUGAAAUGUGAUUUCAAUCUUGUCAGACGUAAAAGAUGGACCAAGUUAUCAUAGGAACAGCAAAUAAACUUCAAAAUUAAUAUCACAUGUUUAGAGCAUGUUAGGAUUAGCCUAUUAGAGCUUAUCUACUAACAUAAAGACUUUGUGAGACUGUAUGGGAGAGUUUAUGAAAACAACUUGUAAA